UCAGCCGCCUCUUCACCACGUGGCGCAUCUCCCUAGGUUGCGCCGCCUUCUUGGCUUUGCGCAGGCGCUCUCGUGGGGAGCGCGUCCGCCGCCUGGCGUGGUUCAGUCGCCGCCGCCUGGGGGCGGUACAGAUGCAACCGCUGCUCUUGGGCCGGUCCAGCAACCCACGGAGGUCGGCCCGCGUUAGAUCAAUGCUAUGUUUUAACAAGAAUGAAAAGAAUACUGAUUGCUACUGGUUUUGAAUGAUACCUAGCUUCAAGCAAAGGCUAAAGAUGAGAAAAGAUAAAGAAAAUUAUCCUCAGAAAAUUGAGGCAAAAAGAGUGUCUGGUAUCAGUGAAAGAAAAUCUGAUGGCAUGAACAUCUUAGACGAGGACAUCUAAACCAAGACAAAGAAAUACUGUGUGCUCCCUGAGGGAGAGACUGUUUCUAACUCAUCACGGAUCUCCAGGGUUUGGCACAGAGGAAGAACUCAAUACAUGUUUGUUGAAUAAAUGCAUUUUUUUUUAAAUAGAAGGAUUUCUUACUUGUCUGAAAAGAUUGGAAUUAUGUAUUAACCAUGCUUGCCUUUUGGAGACAAAUAUUUAAGCCAAUGUUCAUUUGAUUCGGUCAUUGUACAAGGCCAGCCUAUCCAACAGAGACAGAGCUUUCAAUCUGACAUAGUUGAGUUGUAUGUUCUUAUCAUUUUAAAGGGAAUUAAAUGUCAGUUAUGUCUAAACUAUCUGGAUGUGUUGAUUGGACAUGGAAAACUUUUACAAAGAUCAGAUAUUCACACAUAUCCUUAUGUUACUUUGCCAAUAUAGAAUCAAAUAUCUGUUGCAAUGUUUUUUUAUUUAUAUCUACUGUCCAU
Molecule: long non-coding RNA, 847 nt
Organism: Zalophus californianus (California sea lion)
Lineage: Eukaryota; Metazoa; Chordata; Mammalia; Carnivora; Otariidae
Exons: 4
Source: RefSeq, a predicted model, not a curated record